AUUGAACGCUGGCGGAAUGCUUUACACAUGCAAGUCGAGCGGCAGCGCGGGGGCAACCCUGGCGGCGAGCGGCGAACGGGUGAGUAACAUAUCGGAACGUACCCUGUCGUGGGGGAUAACUAUCCGAAAGGAUAGCUAAUACCGCAUACGACCUGAGGGUGAAAGCGGGGGACCGCAAGGCCUCGCGCGAUAGGAGCGGCCGAUAUCGGAUUAGCUAGUUGGUGAGGUAAAGGCUCACCAAGGCGACGAUCCGUAGCGGGUCUGAGAGGACGACCCGCCACACUGGAACUGAGACACGGUCCAGACUCCUACGGGAGGCAGCAGUGGGGAAUUUUGGACAAUGGGCGCAAGCCUGAUCCAGCAAUGCCGCGUGAGUGAUGAAGGCCUCGGUUGUAAGCUCUUUCGCCACGACGAUGAUGACGGUAGUGGGA
This 431-nucleotide ribosomal RNA is filed under the name uncultured bacterium. Its description in RNAcentral is "bacterial SSU rRNA". It matches the Rfam family "Bacterial small subunit ribosomal RNA", at positions 29 to 483 of the family's 1533-position model. The record is from RNAcentral.